This 431-nucleotide long non-coding RNA is filed under the name Homo sapiens (human). Its description in RNAcentral is "non-protein coding lnc-ZNF385C-5:2". The record is from RNAcentral. Lineage: Eukaryota; Metazoa; Chordata; Mammalia; Primates; Hominidae.
AGAAUUAUGAUCCUGGCAGGGGAAACAGAUGAACUUGGAAGAAACAAAAGAUCUUCUUUGCCUGCAGCUGUCCCUAGUCAUGGGGAGGUUGGGGGGUGGGAAGUGAAGCACUGACGAUCCCCAUGAUUAGCAGAACCAGCUCUGCAUAAAACGGGGUCCUUGUGAAGGCAACAGGGUUGUUUUCUGCAUGGACCGUGCCCUAGAAUUUGCCCCUGCCUGCCAUCGCUUCAAAAUCCUCAAGGCAGAAUGUUUAGCAAUGCUGGGUCGUUAUCCAGAAGCACAGUCUGUGGCUAGUGACAUUCUACGAAUGGAUUCCACCAAUGCAGAUGCUCUGUAUGUACGAGGUCUUUGCCUUUAUUACGAAGAUUGUAUUGAGAAGGCAGUUCAGUUUUUCGUACAGGCUCUCAGGAUGGCUCCUGACCACGAGAAGG